GAUGAACGCUGGCGGCGUGCCUAAUACAUGCAAGUCGAGCGAACAGACGAGGAGCUUGCCCCUCUGAUGUUAGCGGCGGACGGGUGAGUAACACGUGGAUAACCUACCUAUAAGACUGGGAUAACUUCGGGAAACCGGAGCUAAUACCGGAUAACAUGUUGAACCGCAUGGUUCAACAGUGAAAGACGGUCUUGCUGUCACUUAUAGAUGGAUCCGCGCCGCAUUAGCUAGUUGGUAAGGUAACGGCUUACCAAGGCAACGAUGCGUAGCCGACCUGAGAGGGUGAUCGGCCACACUGGAACUGAGACACGGUCCAGACUCCUACGGGAGGCAGCAGUAGGGAAUCUUCCGCAAUGGGCGAAAGCCUGACGGAGCAACGCCGCGUGAGUGAAGAAGGUCUUCGGAUCGUAAAACUCUGUUAUUAGGGAAGAACAAAUGUGUAAGUAACUAUGCACGUCUUGACGGUACCUAAUCAGAAAGCCACGGCUAACUACGUG
This 497-nucleotide ribosomal RNA is filed under the name uncultured bacterium. Its description in RNAcentral is "partial 16S ribosomal RNA". It matches the Rfam family "Bacterial small subunit ribosomal RNA", at positions 28 to 507 of the family's 1533-position model. The record is from RNAcentral.